UGGGGUGUCAACAAUUAAAAAAUUUACAAACACAGAAAACUCAAACGCACUGGUUUGGUUUGAUGAAAAUCAAAUUGAACCAGACAAAACAUGUAUUGAAAAUGAAGAAUCAUAAAUUUAUUUUUUGAUGAAACAACAUAAUUUUCAUGUUUUUCUUUUUUGCCGCAAGAGUGGCAGUAUGGGGGAGAAAGACUCUCGGAGACACAAAGUCCAUAUUACACAGUCUUUUCAACAACGAAUGUUGUAGUUGGUAUAACAAUACCUAACAAAAGAACGUACAUAACAAAAUAUGUAAACAAAACAAUCACAAAAAUAUUGUUUGUGAAAAAAGGCAAAAAUAUCGGUUUCUGAAAACGGAAAACGGGGUUCGAUAGUAAAUAACUAGUGCUAUCGAAAUCCAGGGAUGUCACUUGCGAAAAAUUAGAAGUUUCUAGUGUGUGUAAAAUCAAUGUGAAAAACUUAGAGAUAUUCGGCUUUAUACGAACACACAAGUAAUAUGAUCUGUCAAAAUUUUUUGCAGAAUAGGACGGAUGGGUCCUCUAUGAAGAAAAACUUUUUAACAAACUUUUUUCAACUUUAACAAAUUUUUUUUCGAGUUACAAAAUUAUAAAAAAGCAUUGCUUUAUUUAUAAAUUUGUGAAAAAUUUUCAUAAAAAUGAAAAUCUUAUUUAAGCACCAAAACUGAAAUAUAUAAUCGAUAGGGAAUCGAAAAAGGAAUCGAUCUCUCUUUAAGUAUUCUUCGCGGUGCUUGCUAUGAUGUGUGAUGUAACAAACUUUAAAGAAAUUAAAAAUUUAACAAAAAGCGUUUAUACUUAAAAGAAUUAAAAAUAUUCUUUGAGCAAGAAAACAGUAAAUAGUGCCCGAUGGGGAAUCGAUAGACUGAAUUGAUUUCAUUUAUUGGUACUUCCUAUUAGUCAGUGUAACUUAAAAUAGUUUGACGAAUUCGCAAAUUUUAUGAAAAGGUUUUCAUACCAAAGUAGUACUUGCUAUUAGCCAGUGUACUGUAACAAACUUUGACAAAUUCACAAAUUUUAUCAAAAAGUUCUUAUACUAAAAAAUUUUAAAACAUUCGUUGAGCAGCUAAACUAAAAAAAGUGAUCGAUAGGAAAUGGAUAGAAGAUUCAAUCCGCAUAUAGAUUUCAUUUCUGAGUACUUGUUAUAAGACGGUCUAAUGUAACAAACUAGGACAAAUUCUAAAAUUUUAUGAAAAAGUUUUUAUACCAAAAAAUUUUUAAAUAUUCGUUGAGCAGCAAAACUAAAAUAUGUGAUCAAUAGGGAAUCAAUAGGCAAAUCGUACCGUAUAUUGAUUUUUUCUGAUUACUUGCUAUUAGCCGAUGAACCGUAACAGACUUUGACAAAUUCGCAAAUUUAAUGAAAAAGUUUUUAUAUUAAACAAUUUUAAAAUAGUCGUUGAGCAGCAAAACUGUAAUAUAUGAUCAAUAGGGAAUUAAUAGCACAGGGUAUACAGAGACGUCACGGCAAAAAAGUAUAUUUGUCCCUUUCGCACGAAACCAUUUCAACUGUUUUGUUUUGAUCUUAUUUUUUAGCGCGUUUUUAUGAUUUUCUUUUGGUUUUAUUCUAUAGCGCGUUUUUUUAUUUUUUUUUAAUUUUCUUGUUUUCUUAUUAGAGAAAGAGGAUUUGUUGGAGAAAAUCUAAAGUAUUCUUAUUGAAAAAAAUUUAUGAAUUUACUAACAUUCUUUUGUUUUCUUUACAGAAAAUUAACAAAAUAAGUCACAAUGAGCACAAGAAGAUGUAUUAAAGGUUGCCCCCCAGGCGAGCAGCUCCAUUACUUCCCUACCGAUGCUAAAAGUCUGAAAUCAGCAAACCUCAAGAACUGUGGCCAAGAUGCACUGAGACCAUGAUGAAACCUAGUUUCUCCUAACAGCUUGUGACAUUGCGGUUGAAAUUUUGACAAUAAAGAAGCACCUUUUACUGAAGUUUCCAAAUGCUGAAGUUUCUGAUGUUUCCAAAUGUCUGUGUUAAGUAACCCCAGUUUUUACAAACAAAUUUAACAUCAGAAUACAAUUCAACAAUCAUCACAAUCGUUUUUUUUAUUGUAUUAUUUUAACAAAAGUAAUUGUUUAUAUGUUUAACUCGUUUUUAUUUAUAUAUCUUUUUUUGUGUAAUUAAAAAUGAAUUGAAGAUGAAAAUAAUCAGUAAUCUGCAUAAUAUUUAAUAAAUAAAACUAUUAUUUUGUUUCCAAUUGACUUUUAGUUAAUUUUUAUUAUUUUUCUUUUUAAAUUUUAUUUCAAUAAAUGUAUAUACUAUUUGUAAAAGUA
Lucilia cuprina (Australian sheep blowfly) is the source of this 2279-nucleotide long non-coding RNA. RefSeq lists it as uncharacterized. NCBI's taxonomy places the organism in Eukaryota, Metazoa, Arthropoda, Insecta, Diptera, Calliphoridae. The record is from RefSeq and is a predicted model, not a curated record. The transcript has 6 exons.